AUGAGCCAUACAAUGAAGCUAUGGGAGAGAGUCAUUGAGCACCGCUUAAGAAGAAUGACAAGCGUGACCAAAAAUCAGUUUGGUUUCAUGCCUGGGAGGUCGACCAUGGAAGCCAUUUUCUUGGUACGACAACUUAUGGAGAGAUAUAGGGAGCAUAAGAAGGACUUGCAUAUGGUGUUCAUUGACUUGGAGAAGGCCUAUGAUAAGAUACCGCGGAAUGUCAUGUGGUGGGCCUUGGAGAAACACAAAGUCCCAGCAAAGUACAUUACCCUCAUCAAGGACAUGUACAAUAAUGUUGUGACAAGUGUUCGAACAAGUGAUGUCGACACUGAUGACUUCCCGAUUAAGAUAGGACUGCAUCAGGGGUCAGCUUUGAGCCCUUAUCUUUUUGCAUUGGUGAUGGAUGAGGUCACAAGGGGUAUACAAGGAGAUAUCCCAUGGUGUAUGCUCUUUGCGGAUGAUGUGGUGCUAGGUGACGAUAGUCGGACGGGGGUAAAUAGGAAGUUAGAGUUAUGGAGACAAACCUUGGAAUCGAAAGGGUUUAGGCUUAGUAGAACUAAAACCGAGUACAUGAUGUGCGGUUUUAGUACUACUAGCUGUGAGGAGGAGGAGGUUAGCCUUGAUGGCCAGGUGGUACCUCGGAAGGACACCUUUCGGUAUUUGGGGUCAAUGUUGCAGGAGGAUGGGGGUAUUGAUGAAGAUGUGAACCAUCGAAUCAAAGCUGGAUGGAUGAAGUGGCGCCAAGCUUCUGGCAUUCUCUAUGACAAGAGAGUGCCACAAAAGCUAAAAGGCAAGUUCUACAGGACGGCGGUUCGACCCGCAAUGUUGUAUGGCGCGGAGUGUUGGCCGACUAAAAGGCGACAUGUUCAACAGUUAGGUGUGGCGGAGAUGCGUGUGUUGAGAUGGAUGUGUGGCCACACGAGGAAGGAUCGAGUCCGGAAUGAUGAUAUACGAGAUAGAGUUGGGGUAGCACCAAUUGAGGAGAAGCUUGUCCAACAUCGUUUGAGAUGGUUUGGGCAUAUUCAGCGCAGGCCUCCAGAAGCUCCAGUGCAUAGUGGACGGCUAAAGCGUGCGGAGAAUGUCAAGAGAGGGCGGGGUCGACCGAUUUUGACAUGGGAGGAGUCCGUUAAGAGAGACCUGAAGGAUUGGAGUAUCGACAAAGAGCUAGCUAUGGACAGGGGUGCGUGGAAGCUUGCUAUCCAUGUGCCAGAGCCAUGA
This 1218-nucleotide ribosomal RNA is filed under the name Triticum aestivum (bread wheat). Its description in RNAcentral is "partial small subunit ribosomal RNA". The record is from RNAcentral. Lineage: Eukaryota; Viridiplantae; Streptophyta; Magnoliopsida; Poales; Poaceae.